This 2698-nucleotide long non-coding RNA is filed under the name Mus musculus (house mouse). Its description in RNAcentral is "long non-coding RNA chr15:22593394-22596092". Lineage: Eukaryota; Metazoa; Chordata; Mammalia; Rodentia; Muridae. The record is from RNAcentral.
AAAGCUAAGGAAAAUCCAAUUUUACAGAAGAAUAAAAAGAAAAAUCAUUUCAAAUAAUUAUUAUUACAUUAUAAAGGUGUAAAAUUUAAUUAUACAUGGUUAUAUAUAAUAUAUGUAAAACACAUUGAAUUCAAGAAGCAUAUUUGUCACACACACACAUGUAUAGUAUAUAAAUUUGCAAAACCUGUGUUCUAAUUUUCUUUUUCUUGAUUUUGGCAUAGUAUACAUUAUAUAUGUACACACACAUAUACAUAUGAUCUAAAAUAUUAGUUACUGUAUUCCACUAAUGAACACAAGAAUUUAUUGUUUCUACUCUGUUUAAAUGAAUAGUUAUAAGGGCUGGAAAGAAUAGUAGCCAGUAAAUGCCAGGCUGACAAUCAAAACAUCAAGUAGAAGACAGUCACCUAGAUUUUAUCAUGUUUUAUUUGAUGCUUGAUUGUGACUUCAUUCUCUCCACCAUAUAUAUAUAUAUAUAUAUAUAUAUAUAUAUAUAUAUAUAUAUAUAUAUAUGGGGUGUGUGUAUACAUACAUAUAUUUGCAUAUCUGCCUUAUGCAUGUAUAUUUCAUAAAUAUUAUGUGACAACCAGAAUAUUCAAGUUAAACUUGUCAAAAUGUAUGUUACAUCAAAAAUACAUCAUAAAAUAUUAUAUGACAAAAAAGUCAAUAAACCAAUUACAAAAAUCACAGAUGAAAUUAUGUUGUGUUUAUUUAAUUAUUUGUUAAACCAAAGAAUUAUAAAUGAGUAAAUUUUUGUCUGCUAGCCCAAGAAGUUGACAGAAUUUCCUAAUGAACUUUUGAGAUUUUCUUUUAAACAUAUGGGAAGGAGUAAAUUAUCACUAGUUAUGUAUUUGAACACCUUACAUAGAAACUACACACACAUUAUAUGUCAUGCAUUCAAUUGUAUAAGUUAACAGAUAUUUAUGUAUUAUAGAAUGAUUAUUUUACCAUUCUCACUGAUCUGUAAAUAAAAGAAAAAAAGAACAUUGAAAUGACAAAGGUUAAAAUACCUAAUAGUUACUGCUAAGUGAAGUUAAACAAUUAUGUCCACUCUAUUUUUUUAAUCCUCAGAAAUUCUGUUUUCUUUGCACUACCUUGGGCCCUUUCUGUUCUGUUUUGUUCUAUAUUGAUGUGUUAUUUUUGGUUUAUCAUAUCAUAUCAUAUCAUAUCAUAUCAUAUCAUAACAUAUAAUCCUUUUAAAAAUUUUUGUUAUUUUCUUUUUCCUCAUUAAUUCACUUAACAUUCACAUUAUUCACUUUAUAUUAUCAUUGCAACCCCCUCUUCCUGGUUCUCUUCUCACACAGUUCCUUUCCCCCAAAAUUUCACCUUCCCCUCUCCUCUGAGAAGGUAGAGGUUCCAUGGGUGUUUGCCCCAACCUUGCCACAUGAAGUCUCUGCAGGGAUAAGCAUGUCUUCUCCCACUGAGGUCAGUCAAGGCAGCAGUCAGGCAACAGAAUUAGGGAUGGCCCCUGCUCCAGUUAUUGGGUAACCAGCAUGGAGACCAAGUGGCUCAUGUGUUACAUGUGAUAGGAGCCAAGGUCUAGGUCCAUGUUUGCUUUUUAGUUGGUGCUUCAGUGUUUGAGAGAUGCUGAAAGUUCAGGUUAGCUGACUUUGUUGGUAUUCCUGUGGUGUUUCUAUCCCCUUCAGGUCCCUCAAUCCUUUCCUCAACUCUUUCAUAAUAUUCCCAAAGCUCAGCCCAGUGUGUGGCAGUGGGACUCUGCAUUUGUUUCUUUCAACUGCUGGGUGGAGCAUCUCAGAGGACAGUUAUACAAGAAGAUCCUGUCUGUAAGCAUAACAAAGUAUCAGUGAUUGGUGCUUGCCCACAGGAUGUGUCUCACAUUGGACCAGUUAUUGGUUGUCCCAUCCCUCAGUCUUGGCUCCAUCUUUGUCCCUGAAUUUCUUGUGAACAGGACAAAAUUUGGGCUGAAAGUUUUGUUAGUGGGAUGGUGUCCUUAUCCCUCCCCUGGAGUCCUGCCUGACUAUAGGUAGUGGCCACUUCAGAGUUUAUAUCCUCACUGCUAGGAGUUUCAAUUAAAGUAAACUCAUAGAUUUCUGUGAUCCUCCUCCAUCCCAGGUAUCUGGCACACCCUAAAAAUGCUCCCAUAUACCCUAACUCUUCCAGUUGCUGAUUCCCAUUCAUUCUCCUGGCCCUCUUGCCCUCUCCCCACACUUGAUCCUAAACCCCAUUCCUUUUCCCUUCCUAUCCCCUCUCCCACAUAGUUCCCUCCCUUCAUCUCACUCCUAUGUCUGUUUUAUUAUGCUUUCUAAAUGGGAUUCAAACAUCCUUGAUUGGGCUUUCCAAAUUUUUAACUUCUUCAGGUCAGUGGAUUGUAUCAUGGAUACCCUGUACUUUAUGGUUAAUAUCUACUUAUAAGUGAGUAUAUACUAUGUACAUCCUUAUGUGUCUCAGUUACCUUAAUCAGGAUAUUUUAUAUUUCCAUCCAUUUGCCUGAAAAAAAAAAAAAAACUCAUGAUGCCUUUAGCUGAUUUAAACAGCUGAGUAGUAAAACACAUUUUCUCUAUCCAAUCUUUGCUUGUGGAUGGUUUCAGGUUCUGGUUUUUGUUGUUGUUGUUUUUCUAAUGGAAGACAAAGAGAAAGAAGGUGGACCCUGCUAUGAGAGGAGCUGGAGAGGAAGUGGAAUGUGUAGAGAGAAUGGAAAGAGUAAUCAGGAUUUAUUGUGCUCAAGAAGAAAUCUAUUUUU